This 241-nucleotide long non-coding RNA is filed under the name Physcomitrium patens. RNAcentral's name for it is "long non-coding RNA (PPAT_LNC013154)". Lineage: Eukaryota; Viridiplantae; Streptophyta; Bryopsida; Funariales; Funariaceae. The record is from RNAcentral.
GGAGGAGAGGCAGAACAUCCGAGCUGGACAUUCGGGUGGCGGACGCAUGAACGGGCAAGUCAUUAGAUGGAUGAGGGGCUAAGCGUGGAUGGACGGAUGUAUUGUUGACGGACCAUUGAAUGAACCGCACGGAGUUCCUCAAUUUAAGAUUUAUUGCAAAAUAGUGAAAUUUGUGUAGGGGUUCUCGAACUGGAAAUUUAAGAUGUGUCAUUGAAGACUCUUUUCUAACAUUAAUAAAAAU